AGGCCAGACUGAGCAUAUCUGCACUUUGCCCACUGACAGCACUCCUGCGGCCUGAGGAAGACCAUCUGCCUCCUGAGGUUUUACUCAGAGUAAACCAUCCGCUACGAGGGGGCGUGUCGGUGGGCGGGGCCGGGGCGGAGCUGUCUUCCAGAGGCGGCGCAGCGGCAGGAAGCUCCCGAGCUUCCCACGGAGUCAGCGACCCCGGAGAAAGCUCCCGGGACUGGGCCGGCCGAGUGGCAGGACUCAGCGUUCUGAGGCCGGCGACUUCCGGGCGGCGGAGCUCUGCCCCUCCUUUCUUUUCUCUAGGUCAGGUCUCCUUCUGGCUGCGCUGGACCUGCGCACGCGGGGGACUUCCGCGUCCGGCCCUCCAGCCUCCCGCAGCGUCCCGCAGCGCCCUGGCGGGCAGCAGCCUAGGUGGUAGCGGCGCGCUUGGUGCUCGGCGCCAGCACCUGCUACUGCCAUCUACAGGCUGAGGCGGGGCCCGCGGCGAGGCGGCCGGGGGAAUCGGCUGAGCCCCUCUGGAUCUGCAGGCUCUGUUACUGUCAAGGUCCCAUCUUCUCCUCAAACCUAUUUACAGUUAUCAGGAAAAGAGGUUGAUAUGAACCCAGAAGUCAAUGUUCAGGAAGUGGCUGAAGAUGAUAAAGAUGAUGGUGUAACAAUUAUUGGAGGAAGAAAGAGAAUAUACAGAUAUCAGAAAGAAGUAUAUCUAACUUGUAAAUGAAGCUGUUUUGAAAUCAGAAAGGCUUUCCUGGGAAGUUGGUUUGAAUGACAAGACUGUACUAAAAACAAAAUGAUUCUCUAGGUUUAUCCUAUUCAGCUGCAUACUUACAUGGAGAUGUGACUACAGUAUUCCAUCUUAAGGAUCCGGAGCUAUCUGCAGCCUAUCUGAAGGUCCU
Perognathus longimembris pacificus (Pacific pocket mouse) is the source of this 896-nucleotide long non-coding RNA. RefSeq lists it as uncharacterized. Lineage: Eukaryota; Metazoa; Chordata; Mammalia; Rodentia; Heteromyidae. The transcript is spliced from 4 exons. The record is from RefSeq and is a predicted model, not a curated record.